Molecule: non-coding RNA, 82 nt
Organism: Ciona savignyi (Pacific transparent sea squirt)
Lineage: Eukaryota; Metazoa; Chordata; Ascidiacea; Phlebobranchia; Cionidae
Source: Rfam
GUCGUCGUGGCCGAGUGGUUAAGGCGACAGACUAGAAAUCUGUUGGGCUCUGCCCGCGCAGAAUCGAAUCCUGUCGGCGACG